AUGAACGCUGGCGGCGUGCCUAAUACAUGCAAGUCGAACGCACUGACGUCGACUGAAGCUGCUUGCAGUGAAAGUCGAUCGACGUGAGUGGCGGACGGGUGAGUAACACGUGGGUAACUACCCUUAAUGGGGGAUAACAUUUGGAAACAGAUGCUAAUACCGCAUAACCAUACAGACCACAUGGUCUGUAUGUAAAAGAUGGCUUCGGCUAUCACUUUUGGACGGACCCGCGGCGUAUUAGUUAGUUGGUAAGGUAACGGCUUACCAAGACGGUGAUACGUAGCCGACCUGAGAGGGUAAUCGGCCACAUUGGGACUGAGACACGGCCCAAACUCCUACGGGAGGCAGCAGUAGGGAAUCUUCCACAAUGGACGAAAGUCUGAUGGAGCAACGCCGCGUGAGUGAAGAAGGGUUUCGGCUCGUAAAACUCUGUUGUUGGAGAAGAACAGGGACUAGAGUAACUGUUAGUCCUUUGACGGUAUCCAACCAGAAAGCCACGGCUAACUACGUG
Molecule: ribosomal RNA, 511 nt
Filed under: uncultured Lactobacillus sp.
Lineage: Bacteria; Bacillati; Bacillota; Bacilli; Lactobacillales; Lactobacillaceae
Description: bacterial SSU rRNA
Rfam family: Bacterial small subunit ribosomal RNA
Source: RNAcentral